Molecule: small nucleolar RNA, 75 nt
Filed under: Ipomoea nil (Japanese morning glory)
Lineage: Eukaryota; Viridiplantae; Streptophyta; Magnoliopsida; Solanales; Convolvulaceae
Description: Small nucleolar RNA SNORD18
Rfam family: Small nucleolar RNA SNORD18
About the family: U18 is a member of the C/D class of snoRNA which contain the C (UGAUGA) and D (CUGA) box motifs. It is encoded in introns of ribosomal protein L1 in Xenopus and human, and in introns of elongation factor 1 beta in yeast. Related snoRNAs in Arabidopsis and rice have been named R63 and Z106 respectively.
Source: Rfam by way of RNAcentral
GAGAGAUGAUGAAUACACUAUUGGUCCGUGUUUCUGAUUACCGUGACUGAUAAACCAGUGUUUUAUUCUGAUCUC